RNAcentral lists this ribosomal RNA (699 nucleotides) under uncultured bacterium. Its description in RNAcentral is "bacterial SSU rRNA". It matches the Rfam family "Bacterial small subunit ribosomal RNA", at positions 78 to 773 of the family's 1533-position model. The record is from RNAcentral.
GCUUGCUUCUCUUGAGAGCGGCGGACGGGUGAGUAAUGCCUAGGAAUCUGCCUGGUAGUGGGGGAUAACGUUCGGAAACGGACGCUAAUACCGCAUACGUCCUACGGGAGAAAGCAGGGGACCUUCGGGCCUUGCGCUAUCAGAUGAGCCUAGGUCGGAUUAGCUAGUUGGUGAGGUAAUGGCUCACCAAGGCGACGAUCCGUAACUGGUCUGAGAGGAUGAUCAGUCACACUGGAACUGAGACACGGUCCAGACUCCUACGGGAGGCAGCAGUGGGGAAUAUUGGACAAUGGGCGAAAGCCUGAUCCAGCCAUGCCGCGUGUGUGAAGAAGGUCUUCGGAUUGUAAAGCACUUUAAGUUGGGAGGAAGGGUUGUAGAUUAAUACUCUGCAAUUUUGACGUUACCGACAGAAUAAGCACCGGCUAACUCUGUGCCAGCAGCCGCGGUAAUACAGAGGGUGCAAGCGUUAAUCGGAAUUACUGGGCGUAAAGCGCGCGUAGGUGGUUUGUUAAGUUGGAUGUGAAAUCCCCGGGCUCAACCUGGGAACUGCAUUCAAAACUGACUGACUAGAGUAUGGUAGAGGGUGGUGGAAUUUCCUGUGUAGCGGUGAAAUGCGUAGAUAUAGGAAGGAACACCAGUGGCGAAGGCGACCACCUGGACUAAUACUGACACUGAGGUGCGAAAGCGUGGGGAGCAAAC